This is a long non-coding RNA of Homo sapiens (human), 522 nucleotides long. RefSeq lists it as uncharacterized. The record is from RefSeq and is a predicted model, not a curated record. The transcript has 3 exons. NCBI's taxonomy places the organism in Eukaryota, Metazoa, Chordata, Mammalia, Primates, Hominidae.
AGCUCUGGCAGGAGGGGCAGGUUGGCACCUCUACACAGCGGCUGGGAGCAUGGAGACCACUCACCCGUCACCUGCCACAAACCACUAGUCAUGGAGGGUGGACUCCCAGGCCACAGACUGACCAGGACUCAGACACAGGGUCUCGUUCUGUCACUCAGGCUGGAGUGCAGUGGCAAGAUCAUAGCUUGCUGCAACCUUGAACUCCUGGGCUCAAGUGAUGCUCCUACCUCAGCCUCCCGAGUAGUUGGGACCACAGGACUGUCUCCUGGCCCAGUCCCAGACAGUUCACAGCUGAGGAGGAACAAAGCAGAGGAAAGGGACGUGGCGUGACGUGCUGGGAGUGAAACGCUGACACCUCCGUGGCCAUCUGGGACCACGACCUGCACUACUGCCCUCACACCCGGACCUGGAGCUGCCACUUCCUGCCUGCUUCCCAGAAUAGCUGGGCUCAUCCUCUGAGCAGGCUGCCCUGCCUUCCUCUGUCUCUGCUCAGGACAGAGACUCCUCCUAGGACACCAAACA